GGAGCAGGACCACAGCUGCAGCCACAAUCCAGGUGCCACCGCAAUCCAAGGAAAUCUGUGAGGCGAAGAAAGCACGAGGACUCUGGGGAAGAAUCUAAAUUAGCAGAAGGUGAAAUCUGUUCUGCUCACAGCUCCCAACAUGAAUGGAAACUGUCUUCAUGGACUUACAGUACAGACAACGCUGUAAAUCCUCCUGCUGCAGCAGCACAGACAUCACGACGACCAACCUGAAGAAGAAGAAGAAGAAGAAGAAGGAGGAGGAGGUUAAUAAGGAGGCGAGUAUUUCCUUUCGAAGCUGGAAACUGACACCAGACACAUGCUGAGAGACUCUGACAGCGCCUGCUGGGUCCAA
Long non-coding RNA from Perca fluviatilis (European perch), 352 nucleotides. RefSeq lists it as uncharacterized. Lineage: Eukaryota; Metazoa; Chordata; Actinopteri; Perciformes; Percidae. The record is from RefSeq and is a predicted model, not a curated record. The transcript has 3 exons.